This 497-nucleotide ribosomal RNA is filed under the name uncultured bacterium. RNAcentral describes it as "partial 16S ribosomal RNA". It matches the Rfam family "Bacterial small subunit ribosomal RNA", at positions 28 to 507 of the family's 1533-position model. The record is from RNAcentral.
GACGAACGCUGGCGGCGUGCCUAAUACAUGCAAGUUGAGCGCUGAAGGUUGGUACUUGUACCAACUGGAUGAGCAGCGAACGGGUGAGUAACGCGUGGGGAAUCUGCCUUUGAGCGGGGGACAACAUUUGGAAACGAAUGCUAAUACCGCAUAAAAACUUUAAACACAAGUUUUAAGUUUGGAAGAUGCAAUUGCAUCACUCAAAGAUGAUCCCGCGUUGUAUUAGCUAGUUGGUGAGGUAAAGGCUCACCAAGGCGAUGAUACAUAGCCGACCUGAGAGGGUGAUCGGCCACAUUGGGACUGAGACACGGCCCAAACUCCUACGGGAGGCAGCAGUAGGGAAUCUUCGGCAAUGGACGAAAGUCUGACCGAGCAACGCCGCGUGAGUGAAGAAGGGUUUCGGAUCGUAAAACUCGGUUGGUAGAGAAGAACGUUGGUGAGAGUGGAAAGCUCAUCAAGUGACGGUAACUACCCAGAAAGGGACGGCUAACUACGUG